This 1474-nucleotide ribosomal RNA is filed under the name uncultured bacterium. RNAcentral's name for it is "partial 16S ribosomal RNA". It matches the Rfam family "Bacterial small subunit ribosomal RNA". The record is from RNAcentral.
CGCCCUUAGAGUUUGAUCCUGGCUCAGGACGAACGCUGGCGGCGUGCUUAACACAUGCAAGUCGAACGGUAAGGCUCCAGCUUGCUGGGGUACACGAGUGGCGAACGGGUGAGUAACACGUGGGUGACCUGCCCUGCACUUCGGGAUAAGCCUGGGAAACUGGGUCUAAUACCGGAUAGGACCGCACCGUGAGGGUGUGGUGGAAAGUUUUUUCGGUGUGGGAUGGGCCCGCGGCCUAUCAGCUUGUUGGUGGGGUAAUGGCCUACCAAGGCGGCGACGGGUAGCCGGCCUGAGAGGGUGGACGGCCACAUUGGGACUGAGACACGGCCCAGACUCCUACGGGAGGCAGCAGUGGGGAAUAUUGCACAAUGGGCGGAAGCCUGAUGCAGCGACGCCGCGUGGGGGAUGACGGCCUUCGGGUUGUAAACUCCUUUCACCAUCGACGAAGGGUUUCUGACGGUAGAUGGAGAAGAAGCACCGGCUAACUACGUGCCAGCAGCCGCGGUAAUACGUAGGGUGCGAGCGUUGUCCGGAAUUACUGGGCGUAAAGAGCUCGUAGGUGGUUUGUCGCGUCGUCUGUGAAAUUCCGGGGCUUAACUCCGGGCGUGCAGGCGAUACGGGCAUAACUUGAGUACUGUAGGGGAGACUGGAAUUCCUGGUGUAGCGGUGAAAUGCGCAGAUAUCAGGAGGAACACCGGUGGCGAAGGCGGGUCUCUGGGCAGUAACUGACGCUGAGGAGCGAAAGCAUGGGGAGCGAACAGGAUUAGAUACCCUGGUAGUCCAUGCCGUAAACGGUGGGCGCUAGGUGUGGGUUUCCUUCCACGGGAUCCGUGCCGUAGCUAACGCAUUAAGCGCCCCGUCUGGGGAGUACGGCCGCAAGGCUAAAACUCAAAGGAAUUGACGGGGGCCCGCACAAGCGGCGGAGCAUGUGGAUUAAUUCGAUGCAACGCGAAGAACCUUACCUGGGCUUGACAUAUACAGGAUCGCGCCAGAGAUGGUGUUUCCCUUGUGGCUUGUAUACAGGUGGUGCAUGGUUGUCGUCAGCUCGUGUCGUGAGAUGUUGGGUUAAGUCCCGCAACGAGCGCAACCCUUGUCUUAUGUUGCCAGCACGUUGUGGUGGGGACUCGUAAGAAACUGCCGGGGUUAACUCGGAGGAAGGUGGGGAUGACGUCAAAUCAUCAUGCCCCUUAUGUCCAGGGCUUCACACAUGCUACAAUGGUCGGUACAGUGGGUUGCCGGUCCGUGAGGGCGAGCUAAUCCCGCAAAGCCGGUCUCAGUUCGGAUCGGGGUCUGCAACUCGACCCCGUGAAGUCGGAGUCGCUAGUAAUCGCAGAUCAGCAACGCUGCGGUGAAUACGUUCCCGGGCCUUGUACACACCGCCCGUCACGUCAUGAAAGUCGGUAACACCCGAAGCCAGUGGCCUAACACAUUUUGUGGGGGAGCUGUCGAAGGUGGGAUUGGCGAUUGGGACGAA